GACGAACGCUGGCGGCGUGCUUCAUACAUGCAAGUCGAACGAGAAGCUGACUUCGGUCAGUGGAAAGUGGCGGACGGGUGAGUAAUAUGUAGGAAAUCUGCCUUUAGGAGGGGGACAACAGAGGGAAACUUCUGCUAAUACCCCAUAUGAGCGUAGCUGAAAUGCUAUUCUUGAAAACUCCGGUGCCUAAAGAUGAGCCUGCAUCUGAUUAGCUAGUUGGUAGUGUAAUGGACUACCAAGGCGACGAUCAGUAGCUGGUUUGAGAGGAUGAUCAGCCACAAUGGGACUGAGACACGGCCCAUACUCCUACGGGAGGCAGCAGGAGGGGAUUUUGCGCAAUGGGCGAAAGCCUGACGCAGCAACGCCGCGUGAACGAUUAAGCCCUUCGGGGUGUAAAGUUCUGUCAGUGGGGACGAAACUUGACGGUACCCACAGAGGAAGCACCGGCUAACUCCGUG
Molecule: ribosomal RNA, 458 nt
Filed under: uncultured bacterium
Lineage: Bacteria
Description: partial 16S ribosomal RNA
Rfam family: Bacterial small subunit ribosomal RNA
Source: RNAcentral